RNAcentral lists this ribosomal RNA (324 nucleotides) under uncultured eukaryote. Its description in RNAcentral is "partial 18S ribosomal RNA". It matches the Rfam family "Eukaryotic small subunit ribosomal RNA", at positions 1470 to 1796 of the family's 1831-position model. The record is from RNAcentral.
CCCUUAGAUGUCCUGGGCUGCACGCGCGCUACACUGAUGUGUCCAGUAAGCACCUAACCUCUUCCGAAAGGAACGGGUAACCUUUGCAAAGCACAUCGUGAUGGGGAUAGAUUAUUGCAAUUAUUAGUCUUGAACGAGGAAUUCCUAGUAAGCACAAGUCAUCAGCUUGUGUUGAUUACGUCCCUGCCCUUUGUACACACCGCCCGUCGCUCCUACCGAUUGAAUGUUCCGGUGAGCUCUUCGGACUGCGCGGUCUGCAGUUUCUGCGUUCCGUGCGGAAAGUUGCGCAAACCUUAACAUUCAGAGGAAGGAGAAGUCGUAACA